GUGAAUCAUCGAAUUUUUGAACGCAAAUUGCACUCCCUGGUAUUCCGGGGAGUAUGCCUGUUUGAGGGUCGUUAGAAUAAAAAAUCGAGGCGUCGCUCUUUUUUUUAAGGGUGAUCGCGUCUGAAUUGAGCCUUCUUUCAAAUUUUAAUUCAUGUCAAAUUGCCUUAAAAUUUAUCCAUCCGGUACGAUUAAAGCGUAUUUAUGAUCAACUUUGAUUACUAACGCUCGAUGACCUUAUCAUCCCAUCUAGUACUUUUGCCUUGACUU
This 267-nucleotide unclassified non-coding RNA is filed under the name Glomeraceae sp. RNAcentral's name for it is "partial contains 5.8S ribosomal RNA and internal transcribed spacer 2". The stretch from base 1 to 71 matches the Rfam family "5.8S ribosomal RNA", at positions 84 to 154 of the family's 154-position model. Lineage: Eukaryota; Fungi; Glomeromycota; Glomeromycetes; Glomerales; Glomeraceae. The record is from RNAcentral.